CCAAUAGCGUAUAUUAAAGUUGUUGCAGUUAAAAAGCUCGUAGUUGAAUUUCAGGCCUGGCUGGACGGUCCGCCCUUCGGGUGAGUACUGUCUGUGGUCGGGUCCUACCUUCUGGCGAAGCGUCAUGGCCUUAACCGGCCGUGGCGGGGAACCAGGACUUUUACUGUGAAAAAAUUAGAGUGUUCAAAGCAGGCAAUCGCUUGGAUACAUUAGCAUGGAA
RNAcentral lists this ribosomal RNA (220 nucleotides) under uncultured Paraglomus. Its description in RNAcentral is "partial small subunit ribosomal RNA". It matches the Rfam family "Eukaryotic small subunit ribosomal RNA", at positions 591 to 814 of the family's 1831-position model. The record is from RNAcentral. Lineage: Eukaryota; Fungi; Glomeromycota; Glomeromycetes; Paraglomerales; Paraglomeraceae.